RNAcentral lists this long non-coding RNA (2213 nucleotides) under Homo sapiens (human). RNAcentral's name for it is "non-protein coding lnc-ZKSCAN2-6:2". Lineage: Eukaryota; Metazoa; Chordata; Mammalia; Primates; Hominidae. The record is from RNAcentral.
GGGGAAAAAAACAGCAGAGGAAGUAUGGGGAUAAACACACUAACAUGAUGUCAUUCAAGAUGAGGCCUGCCUAUUUGCUUUUAGCUGCUCACACCCAAAUUGAUCAAAGACAUUGAACAGUACCAGGUUCAUUGGCUUUGCUCAGGCUUGAAGCCGAGUGGAGUUGCUCAGGGGUGGCCAUUAGUCUGGUCCUUGCCGCUUCACUGCAUGCCGGGCAGCUUGGGUGGCUAUCCCCAUGUGUGGUUUUAACACAUGUGGACCGAUGGGCUUCUGUCUCAGUAGUCUGCUCGCAUGGUGUGUUGACUGUUUCUUCUCUCUGUGUAGCUUUGGUGUGAAGCUUAUGGACUUCCAGGCCCACCGGCGGGGUGGCACUCUAAAUAGAAAGCACAUAUCCCCCGCUUUCCAGCCGCCACUUCCGCCCACAGAUGGCAGCACCGUGGUGCCCGCUGGCCCAGAGCCCCCUCCCCAGAGCUCUAGGGCUGAAAGCAGCUCUGGGGGUGGGACUGUCCCCUCUUCCGCGGGCAUACUGGAGCAGGGGCCGAGCCCAGGCGACGGCAGUCCUCCCAAACCGAAGGACCCUGUAUCUGCAGCUGUGCCAGCACCAGGGAGAAACAACAGUCAGAUAGCAUCUGGCCAAAAUCAGCCCCAGGCAGCUGCUGGCUCCCACCAGCUCUCCAUGGGCCAACCUCACAAUGCUGCAGGGCCCAGCCCGCAUACACUGCGCCGAGCUGUUAAAAAACCCGCUCCAGCACCCCCGAAACCGGGCAACCCACCUCCUGGCCACCCCGGGGGCCAGAGUUCUUCAGGAACAUCUCAGCAUCCACCCAGUCUGUCACCAAAGCCACCCACCCGAAGCCCCUCUCCUCCCACCCAGCACACGGGCCAGCCUCCAGGCCAGCCCUCCGCCCCCUCCCAGCUCUCAGCACCCCGGAGGUACUCCAGCAGCUUGUCUCCAAUCCAAGCUCCCAAUCACCCACCGCCGCAGCCCCCUACGCAGGCCACGCCACUGAUGCACACCAAACCCAAUAGCCAGGGCCCUCCCAACCCCAUGGCAUUGCCCAGUGAGCAUGGACUUGAGCAGCCAUCUCACACCCCUCCCCAGACUCCAACGCCCCCCAGUACUCCGCCCCUAGGAAAACAGAACCCCAGUCUGCCAGCUCCUCAGACCCUGGCAGGGGGUAACCCUGAAACUGCACAGCCACAUGCUGGAACCUUACCGAGACCGAGACCAGUACCAAAGCCAAGGAACCGGCCCAGCGUGCCCCCACCCCCCCAACCUCCUGGUGUCCACUCAGCUGGGGACAGCAGCCUCACCAACACAGCACCAACAGCUUCCAAGAUAGUAACAGACUCCAAUUCCAGGGUUUCAGAACCGCAUCGCAGCAUCUUUCCUGAAAUGCACUCAGACUCAGCCAGCAAAGACGUGCCUGGCCGCAUCCUGCUGGAUAUAGACAAUGAUACCGAGAGCACUGCCCUGUGAAGAAAGCCCUUUCCCAGCCCUCCACCACUUCCACCCUGGCGAGUGGAGCAGGGGCAGGCGAACCUCUUUCUUUGCAGACCGAACAGUGAAAAGCUUUCAGUGGAGGACAAAGGAGGGCCUCACUGUGCGGGACCUGGCCUUCUGCACGGCCCAAGGAGAACCUGGAGGCCACCACUAAAGCUGAAUGACCUGUGUCUUGAAGAAGUUGGCUUUCUUUACAUGGGAAGGAAAUCAUGCCAAAAAAAUCCAAAACAAAGAAGUACCUGGAGUGGAGAGAGUAUUCCUGCUGAAACGCGCAUAGGAAGCUUUUGUCCCUGCUGUUAAUGCGGGCAGCACCUACAGCAACUUGGAAUGAGUAAGAAGCAGUGCGUUAACUAUCUAUUUAAUAAAAUGCGCUCAUUAUGCAAGUCGCCUACUCUCUGCUACCUGGACGUUCAUUCUUAUGUAUUAGGAGGGAGGCUGCGCUCCUUCAGACUUGCUGCAGAAUCAUUUUGUAUCAUGUAUGGUCUGUGUCUCCCCAGUCCCCUCAGAACCAUGCCCAUGGAUGGUGACUGCUGGCUCUGUCACCUCAUCAAACUGGAUGUGACCCAUGCCGCCUCGUUGGAUUGUCGGAAUGUAGACAGAAAUGUACUGUUCUUUUUUUUUUUUUUAAACAAUGUAAUUGCUACUUGAUAAGGACCGAACAUUAUUCUAGUUUCAUGUUUAAUUUGAAUUAAAUAUAUUCUGUGGUUUA